Molecule: ribosomal RNA, 529 nt
Filed under: uncultured bacterium
Lineage: Bacteria
Description: bacterial SSU rRNA
Rfam family: Bacterial small subunit ribosomal RNA
Source: RNAcentral
AAUAGAUACCCCGGGUAGUCCAUGCCGUAAACGUUGGGCACUAGGUGUGGGGCUCAUUCCACGAGUUCCGUGCCGCAGCAAACGCAUUAAGUGCCCCGCCUGGGGAGUACGGCCGCAAGGCUAAAACUCAAAGGAAUUGACGGGGGCCCGCACAAGCGGCGGAGCAUGCGGAUUAAUUCGAUGCAACGCGAAGAACCUUACCAAGGCUUGACAUGCACGAGAAGCCACCAGAGAUGGUGGUCUCUUUGGACACUCGUGCACAGGUGGUGCAUGGUUGUCGUCAGCUCGUGUCGUGAGAUGUUGGGUUAAGUCCCGCAACGAGCGCAACCCUGUCCCAUGUUGCCAGCGGGUUAUGCCGGGGACUCAUGGGAGACUGCCGGGGUCAACGUCGGAGGAAGGUGGGGAUGACGUCAAAUCAUCAUGCCCCUUAUGUCUUGGGCUUCACGCAUGCUACAAUGGCCGUACAAGGGCUGCGAAUCCGUAAAGGUGAGCGAAUCCCGAAAAAGCCGGUCUCAGUUCGGAUUGGGGU